UAUAAAUACAUAAGAAAGGUAGAAAUUGUUACCAGAGUGAAAUCCACACUAGAUAUAUUACAGAGAGAAACAGAAGAAGAGAAGAGAAGAGAGAAGCAUAUACAUAUGAACAUUAGGCCUUUUUAGAAGAAGAGAAGAGAAGAGAGAAGCAGAGGACUUGAGAGGAGAGGCCUUUUCAGAAGAAGAGAAGAGAAGAGAGAAGCAGAGGACUUGAGAGGAGAGGCCUUUUCAGAAGAAGAGAAGAGAAGAGAGAAGCAGAGGACUUGAGAAGAAGAAGAGAAGAGAAGAGAGAAGCAGAUACAUAUGAACAGGAGGCCUUUUCAGAAGAAGAGAAGAGAAGAGAGAAGCAGAGGACAGGAGGCCUUUUCAGAAGAAGAGAAGAGAAGAGAGAAGCAGAGGACUUGAGACCUUUUCAGAAGAAGAGAAGAGAAGAGAGAAGGAAAGGACUUGAGAAAAGAAGCGAAGACAAGACUCAAUUCUAGCUUCUUUGCUU
This 493-nucleotide long non-coding RNA is filed under the name Amborella trichopoda. RNAcentral describes it as "long non-coding RNA (ATRI_LNC005046)". The record is from RNAcentral. Lineage: Eukaryota; Viridiplantae; Streptophyta; Magnoliopsida; Amborellales; Amborellaceae.